This 255-nucleotide ribosomal RNA is filed under the name uncultured bacterium. RNAcentral's name for it is "partial 16S ribosomal RNA". It matches the Rfam family "Bacterial small subunit ribosomal RNA", at positions 183 to 439 of the family's 1533-position model. The record is from RNAcentral.
CCCCCGCAUGGGGGAGGCGGGAAAGCGUACACGGCGGGGGAUGGGCCCGCGGCCUGUUAGCUCGUUGGCGGGGUAACGGCCCACCAAGGCGAUUAUGGGUAGCCGGGUUGAGAGACCGACCGGCCAGAUUGGGACUGAGACACGGCCCAGACUCCUACGGGAGGCAGCAGUGGGGAAUCUUGCACAAUGGAGGAAAGCCUGAUGCAGCGACGCCGCGUGCGGGAGGAAGAAGGUCGGGUUGUAAACCGCUUUCAG